UGAGCAAUCUGCCCUUCUCAUCGGAAUAAGCGUUGGAAACGACGUCUAAUGCCGAAUACGACCUCCUUUCGCAUGAUCGGAGGUGGAAAGCUCCGGCGGAGAAGGAUGAGCUCGCGGCCUAUCAGCUAGUUGGUGUGGGUAAUGGCCCACCAAGGCGACGACGGGUAGCCGGCCUGAGAGGGUGACCGACCACACUGGGACUGAGACACGGCCCAGACUCCUACGGGAGCAG
This 232-nucleotide ribosomal RNA is filed under the name uncultured bacterium. RNAcentral's name for it is "partial 16S ribosomal RNA". It matches the Rfam family "Bacterial small subunit ribosomal RNA", at positions 118 to 347 of the family's 1533-position model. The record is from RNAcentral.